CCGCCUUGCCCGUCCCGCCCCGCCCCGCCCCUCAGCGUGGCGCGAAGGUGUCUCCUCAGAGGCAGCCGGUCCUCGGAACGGCGGGAGGAAAGAGACUUCUCGAAUUGCCUGGAAUGGCAUUUCCUUCGCUCUCAUCAGCCUCCUACAGCGGCGGGGAAAAGGAUCUACUCGCCCCCUUCCUCCUCGUAUUGCUGGCGGGGUGCAGCCGGCAAGGGGAGCUCUCUCAAGCACGGCAGCGGGCUAAAGGGGGUUAAUACGAGGUGUUCAGCAUGAUGGAGGAGAGAGCGCCCUGCCCAAGCACCGUCCUGUUAAAUAGGCCUGAGAAUAAUUAGUGUUCCUUUAUUGCAGGAAUAAUCUUCUGUCAUAACUUGCUAGUAUGAGAAGGUCAAAGCUGCGUACGUUGUUCACUGUAGCCAGCAGGAUCCCAUGGCUGUGUGAAGAAUAAGUUAAUUAGGAGAGGUUUGUGAGUGAAGGGCUAGGUAUGUUCCUCUACAGCCGGAGAGAAGCCGACGUGCGGCUUGUCUGAACUGGGCCAGCCCAUUUGCCCCCCAGCAAGAGGUCCCAGAUCCUUUCCCAAAUCCCAGCUUCAUUGCUCCUGCUCUUUCUUCUGCACUUCCGACAACGUUUUAUGAGCACUGACUGUUGCCUUGCUUGUUUGUCAGCGUCAGCAGUAAUCUCAAAAUUUCCGAUUUAGUAGGUAACUUCUGUUUGUCAGACAAAACCUUUUAUUUAAAACACAACUCCUUAGGGAGCUGAUCUGUUGAUUGGUUGCUCUUUAUGGCACUUAUCUGUCCUCUACCAUAUGGUACAAAAGAGAAGUCUGUCAUGGAGUUCUUUUGCUUAAAGAAUUUGUGAACUAUUUUGCUUCCCCCACCUACACCUUAGGUGAAAUUUCCAGCCACUUCCCUUCCCCACCCUCAGGGCAGGUGCUCUGGAGAAAUGCGAAUUUCAUUGGAUGUUGUGUAAAACUGCCAGUCUGUAUGAGGCAUUCAAAGCCAUGAAGAACUUCAUUUGUCAUAUGCCAGACUGGACAGGUCAAAUAACAUUCUUAUUUUGAAAAAAUACUGAAUUCAUUUUAAUUUACUAGCUGUUUCAUAUCUCUUCAGGUUAGACAUUCUUUUGGAGUAGCUUAUGUCACAACUGGUAUAUGAGAUGCCUUGGUAGAGGAUGGAGUUUUCUUCAUAGUAACCGGUUUUCAGUCAAUUACUUGCAUGGUAAUAAUCGUCCUUGUAGAGCUGUGUAGAACUAAGGAGACAUGAGGCCUUGAGUUGUACAGUUAAAGAUGUGCAAAUGUUGUUUGUCAGUAUUCUACAGAGAGCUUAGACUGCUGCAGAUGCAACAGGUUGACCUGCCAUGGAAGCAACAUAUCACUGAAACGUAAAAACGCUCAUUUUCUUAUGGGCAACAUGAUCUUUAAUAACUAUUCUGUGAUGAUAAAUGUAGUCCCAUAAGGAAUGAAUAUUUUCCCCCUUUGUUAUACCUUUAACUGGAAGUUGUGUCUUACCUUUAUAGUCACAGAUUGUAUAAACCCCCUGUGAUAAAGCAGGUUUUUUCCAGCUGGAACAGUAAAAUGGUUUGGAACAGAUGUGUUGGACCGCUUUAGUUUGGGGUGCUAUAAGGAAUGUGCCAUGCAGUAUAAAAAUCAUUGAAUAGGAUUUUGGUGAUUGUUGGGUAGUCAGAUGUUAGGAGGACAGAUAACGACUCAUAAUUGGAGGAUUACAAUACAUGAAUUUCUGUAUUAACCCAUGUGGAAAACAUUGGAUCAACAUUUAGCUACGCUGUUCUAGCCAGAAGAUCAAAUUCUGUUGUUCCUGUGCUUCUCUGUCCUUGGCUGCUGACGUAUCUAACUGAGCAAAGAAAAACCCCACAUAGAUUCAGAUUCAAGAAGGCUUUUCUAUAUUUACACGAAAAUUAUAAAGCCUAAUUCUUUUUGAAACUGAAAAUUAGAUUUUGACAUAACUGACUGGACUAUCAGGAGUUUUGGCUGUGGUGUUCUGUUGAUCAAAGAGUUUGAUUCUAAUGAGUAAUUUACAUUUUGUAAAGCUGAUAAUUAAAUUUCUCCCACAUUCUUUAUUACUCUUCUAGAUGAAAAUGUAAAUUAUACCCCAUUUACUUUUAUUACAUAUGAAAAUGGCUGUGCAUUCUUUUUAAUAUCUUACAGAUCUAAAUCGUGCGAGGCAUGAUUCUUAAAAUGAAAGACCUGUUUGUUUAUCUGAAAUGGUUUUCUUCGAUUGCAUUGAUUCUUAAUCUGCCACCAGGGGGCAAUAAUUCCAUUUCCUAAAUCUGAUCUUUCAACAUUAAUACCUACUAGAAGAGAGGUUUCGUUAAAAUUUUUGAGGGACUACAUGUGAAAGCCAAAACAUAAUUUUCUUAGAAAUGCUUCAUUUGCAUGUUUUAAUGCUAAUUACGUUAAUAUUUUAAUAUUUUACUCUGCUCUACUUAGGCACGUAGGUUCUACUUGUAUUUUGAGUGGCUGAAAUUAGACCACUUUGUAAAAGUUUCUACUGGUGAACCUCAUGCAACACUGUAAUGGUGCAAGGUUUGGAUUUAAUGCAAAAUAGGAAUUUUUGUGGGUUUUUUAUAGUGCCAUUGUAAUAUUUUAGAAUUUGUUUUGAAUGCCAUUACUUUCCUAUUCUUCUACUUUUUGUUACACUAAUGUCCUAUUAAUGUUUACUAGCCUAUAUAUGUAGUCCUGAAUUUGGAAAUUAUAUCACCUGACAGGUACCUUUAUAUCCUUA
Molecule: non-coding RNA, 2738 nt
Organism: Phalacrocorax carbo (great cormorant)
Lineage: Eukaryota; Metazoa; Chordata; Aves; Suliformes; Phalacrocoracidae
Source: RefSeq, a predicted model, not a curated record